UGCCAGCAGCCGCGGUAAUACGGAGGGUCCAAGCGUUAUCCGGAUUCAUUGGGUUUAAAGGGUCCGUAGGCGGAUUUUUAAGUCAGUGGUGAAAGCCUGCAGCUCAACUGCAGAACUGCCAUUGAUACUGGAAAUCUUGAGUGUAUUGGAAGUGGGCGGAAUGUGUCAUGUAGCGGUGAAAUGCAUAGAUAUGACACAGAACACCGAUUGCGAAGGCAGCUCACUACACUACAACUGACGCUGAGGGACGAAAGCGUGGGGAGCGAACAGGAUUAGAUA
RNAcentral lists this ribosomal RNA (279 nucleotides) under uncultured bacterium. Its description in RNAcentral is "partial 16S ribosomal RNA". It matches the Rfam family "Bacterial small subunit ribosomal RNA", at positions 506 to 784 of the family's 1533-position model. The record is from RNAcentral.